AGUGAACGCUGGCGGUAGGCCUAACACAUGCAAGUCGAACGGCAGCACAGUAAGAGCUUGCUCUUACGGGUGGCGAGUGGCGGACGGGUGAGGAAUACAUCGGAAUCUACUUUUUCGUGGGGGAUAACGUAGGGAAACUUACGCUAAUACCGCAUACGACCUACGGGUGAAAGCAGGGGAUCUUCGGACCUUGCGCGAUUGAAUGAGCCGAUGUCGGAUUAGCUAGUUGGCGGGGUAAAGGCCCACCAAGGCGAGGAUCCGUAGCUGGUCUGAGAGGAUGGUCAGCCACACUGGAACGGAGACACGGUCCAGACUCCUACGGGAGGCAGCAGUGGGGAAUAUUGGACAAUGGGCGCAAGCCUGAUCCAGCCAUACCGCGUGGGUGAAGAAGGCCUUCGGGUUGUAAAGCCCUUUUGUUGGGAAAGAAAAGCAGCAGGUUAAUACCCCGCUGUUCUGACGGUACCCAAAGAAUAAGCACCGGCUAACUUCGUG
This 492-nucleotide ribosomal RNA is filed under the name uncultured bacterium. RNAcentral describes it as "partial 16S ribosomal RNA". It matches the Rfam family "Bacterial small subunit ribosomal RNA", at positions 29 to 507 of the family's 1533-position model. The record is from RNAcentral.